UUAAUUGAAGAGUUUGAUCAUGGCUCAGAUUGAACGCUGGCGGCAGGCCUAACACAUGCAAGUCGAACGGUAACAGGGAGCAGCUUGCUGCUCUGCUGACGAGUGGCGGACGGGUGAGUAAUGUCUGGGAAACUGCCUGAUGGAGGGGGAUAACUACUGGAAACGGUAGCUAAUACCGCAUAACGUCUACGGACCAAAGUGGGGGACCUUCGGGCCUCAUGCCAUCAGAUGUGCCCAGAUGGGAUUAGCUAGUAGGUGGGGUAACGGCUCACCUAGGCGACGAUCCCUAGCUGGUCUGAGAGGAUGACCAGCCACACUGGAACUGAGACACGGUCCAGACUCCUACGGGAGGCAGCAGUGGGGAAUAUUGCACAAUGGGCGCAAGCCUGAUGCAGCCAUGCCGCGUGUAUGAAGAAGGCCUUCGGGUUGUAAAG
This 434-nucleotide ribosomal RNA is filed under the name Cronobacter sakazakii. Its description in RNAcentral is "bacterial SSU rRNA". It matches the Rfam family "Bacterial small subunit ribosomal RNA", at positions 1 to 430 of the family's 1533-position model. Lineage: Bacteria; Pseudomonadati; Pseudomonadota; Gammaproteobacteria; Enterobacterales; Enterobacteriaceae. The record is from RNAcentral.